This is a long non-coding RNA of Portunus trituberculatus (swimming crab), 3342 nucleotides long. RefSeq lists it as uncharacterized. The record is from RefSeq and is a predicted model, not a curated record. The transcript is spliced from 2 exons. Lineage: Eukaryota; Metazoa; Arthropoda; Malacostraca; Decapoda; Portunidae.
GUCUGUUACCUCCCUGCUGCAGCCAAUUUACGAACCACAGAUGAGAGAUAGUACAAUAUUACAUUUAAGAAAAGUGUGAAAUAACAGAUGGCGCUGGCCAAAUACGUCGCCUCGCCGUGGCAGCCCGACGCCCGAAAGGGAGGUGUGGCCAGCCGUCCUCCGCCACGGUGGCCCUGACCCGUCAGACGGCCCGCUGCCCAUAUUGGUAACAAGACUUCCCCCAUCCCCCCACUCUCUGCACUUCUCCCUUUCCCUCUCUCCCACCCCACCAUCAACGGUAUACCCCCUCCCAACACAACUUAACCCGGAAACACCUCUUGUCUAGCCCUCUCAUCUCGGAGAGGCGUGCAGCCGCCCACCGCCCACGCCACCUGAUGUACCCACGGUGAGAUGGUGCCUGGUUGGAGAGGGAACGGUGAUAUGUGGGCUGCACCAUACCUACACGUGAUGGUGGUGAUGUCACCAUCAGCACCCACACCUGAUUCCCCUCUCCUUGUCAACACGUACUCUUUCCUUCCUUCGAACGAAUCACCCCAACCCCUCACCUUCACCCUAUCCGUCCCGCACACCUGCCUUGCAGAGGAAGAGCAAUUGGUCUACUCAGCGCCACGUGACAUUCCGUCCGGAGGUCACCGCCGAUAAGAGAGGGCCGCCCCCCGUGUCUCCAGACCGACGCCCCCCUGAACAGCUGUGGCCUAGUCAGGCGGCGAGCAGGUGUGGGUGACGGCGGGAGCAGCUGAGGGAGACACCAGGCUUCACAAGCAUUUCCCGUCCUCCAUCACCAUCACACCAGCCCACCUCAGGGUCGUGAGGGUCACCAACUCUGCCGCCUGAAUCGCCGCAAAGUAAUGAGGACGUCCGGGCUUCACUAUGCUUUCAAGGUCGCUCCAGGUCACUCCUCGAUGAACUCGCCCAGCACCCUGUCAGCUCACCAAGUUCAGCAGAAACACUAAUCUAUUUUGCUCGUUUAUUUCUCGACUCUGAGAAACCGUGAUUUUCUACUGCUUACGACUGCAGGACACCAGCCGGCCUCAAGUAUCACUGAGGUGCUGAGCUCGGAAAAGGUAGUAGAACAGCGGUUUAAGGUUAUCAUAAACUAUCUUGAAGGUGACACUCCCAGCUCCUCCCCCUGUCGGUCACAUGAUUGUCUCUCCUUCACACUGCCAGGGGGAGAAGGCCAUUUGACACUCCCACUUCUACGUGCUGAAUUAUAUGCGACAGAAACCGUUAAGCAGCGUACAAGGAGACAUCUGUCCAAUAAUCGCCACGGAUCAAUUAUAAAAUAUCUGGCCAGCUGCUGCUGCCUCAGCGCGUCCCACUAUCAGCUGCCGCCGGAGGUUUCCACACCCGGGAACCGCGCCCGUGACGCAGGGCACCAGCUGCUGCCUCAGCUCAGUUCUCUUAGAAAAAAAAAAAGGUCCACCUGUUUCACAUCUUUCACUGAAGCCUCGAUGAGUUGCUCUGUGCUGGGAUGAGGGGCGCCAUCUUAGGCUCGGCAAGGAAGCAACUGUAAAGUAAAGUAAAAUAAAUUAAAUUUUAUUGCUAUUUACGUACACAACAUAAUGUACAUACAUAGUACUCAUCUAAGCAAUGGCACGGCCUGCCAAGCCAAGGUUCCUAGGCAGACGGAUUUAUCUGUGUGUGUGUGUGUGUGUGUGUGUGUGUGUGUGUGUGUGUGUUAGGGGUCGCCAGCAGGUGUGGUACGCCGUCUGUUCCCUCAGCCACGGCAGUUUCUGUUACAAAGUUUCCUCCAUCUGGGUAAACUUCCAUCUGCAUCGUGGGGGCGGUGGGCUCGGCAGCUGCAGUGGCUUUCAUGUGUGUCAAUGCUAAUUAUGUCUGCACUUUGACUAAGUGAGACUUAUUGCCAUCUCACCCUCCUCUCUCCUCUCCUCCCCUGGAGCCAGUGCAUUUCCGCCUGGUUUAUCUUCCACUUUGUUAUUACUCAGCAUUCAGCACAUCACACUUGUGUAUCUCACGGUGUGUGUGUCUGUGAGUGUGUGUGUGUGUGUGUGUGUGUGUGUGUGUGUGUGAGAGAGAGAGAGAGAGAGAGAGAGAGAGAGAGAGAGAGAGAGAGAGAGAGGUGGGGGGGAUAAAAGCAGAGGGCACCUCGUGAGAGCUGGCAACGGAGAGAGAGAGAAAGCUAAGUAUGGUGAGAGGCGUAUCCCCGAGGGGCGGCGGCGCGACGGCGGUGUCUUCCUCUGCUAUCCUACGCUCCAUCUGUUUCUUUACACGUCCCCUACACCCCCGCCGGGACGCUCGCCUGGUCAGUGCUACAGUCACCCGCUUGCGGCUGUGUGGGGCGAGGGUCGCGGUACGGGUGUGUAGUGUGGGCACUCCCCGCACCUCUCAUCCCUCCUAACCUUCCUCCGUUUCCUUCUGUACCUAUAAAAUCACCCCUCUGCUUGGAUGUGUCAUGGAGUCUUUCCUCAAGGAGUCCCAUUUCUGAACCCUGUAAUCUGGUCUCGUAUCCUUUCUCCAAACACACAGACACACAUACACACACAGGUGCACCACAUCUUGGCAUCACCCGCAUACCAGACAAGAAAAUGAUAUCCCUUGACAGAAAAGACGAAGAGAGAGAAGUGUCAUCAGAAUAUCCUUGUCAGACACCCUCUCCCUACCUUGUCAUCUAUUCCCUGCCACCUCACUACUACACACCCCAAUAUUCAUCCGAAACCCCCUGCAUUACUAAACAUGUGUCUUUUCACCCCCCUUCACUCCUUCCUCCUGAUGCGCACACCCUUCCCCCUGCCCUUGUCAGAGUUGCCCCGAGAGGGUCAGGGGGAAGGGGCGGAGAAGGUGAAGGAGUGAGUAGGUGGAUGGGUGGUGGGGAGGUUUUGGGUGUGGGUGCCAUAACCUGAUCUCCGGUCCAACCACUUCCUGCAAACACAAUUGGUACUCUCUCUCUCUCUCUCUCUCUCUCUCUCUCUCUCUCUCUCUCUCUCUCUCUCUGAGUCAUCACAACCAAUGUGUGUGUGUGUCUGUGUGUGUGUGUGUGUGUGUGUGUGUGUGUGUGUGUGUGUGUGUGUGUGUGUGUGUGUGUGUGUGUGUGUACGCUUCCCAGCAGGUCUGGGUGUUAAUUGUCAUAUCUGUUAAUAAACAUUAAUAUUAGAGUGUACAUUGUCAUCCGUUCGACUUAAUUAACAAGGACUCUGUGUGUGUGUGUGUGUGUGUGUGUGUGUGUGUGUGUGUGUGUGUGUGCUCGCGCGUAAUAUCGCUGUAUAUCUAUAUAUGCAUGACCGUGUGUUUAUACAUUUCCACAUAUGCGUAUAUCUAUAAUUCCGUUGUACUUCAUGUGCCGUGACAACGUCAAAAAAAAAAAUAAAGUAUUUUUGUAUUGAU